This is a long non-coding RNA of Ochlerotatus camptorhynchus, 1454 nucleotides long. RefSeq lists it as uncharacterized. The transcript has 2 exons. The record is from RefSeq and is a predicted model, not a curated record. NCBI's taxonomy places the organism in Eukaryota, Metazoa, Arthropoda, Insecta, Diptera, Culicidae.
GGGAAACCCUGACUGUUAUUUUUUUUCCCACUCAUAUUGGCCCUCUCUUGUUCCGUCUGAGAAUAAUAAAACAGAACAAAAUCUGUAGUCAACCUCGGACUAACCCUAGACUACAAGCUGAUUUUCAGGGAGCACAUUGGCAAAACGAAUACCAAGUGCAACUUCUUGAUAAGAUCACUGUAUCCUCUUAACAGGAAGUCCACCCUUUCGCUGAAAAACAAGCUUACUAUCUACAAACAGAUCAUUCUUUCAGUUAUUGAAUAAGGCAUGCCAACCUGGAAGAGUUGUGCUAAGCGCCACCAUUUUAAACUUCAAAGGAUCCAGAAUAAGAUCCUUAGAAUGAUCCUAAACAGUACUGCAAAUCCUGACGUCCACCGUCUGGAUGUUCUCCAGACACUGGAUGAGCGGAGAACAAUCUUCGUGGAAAGGUUCAGAAUUUGCUGCGGACGAUCCGAUCAACAUAUCAGGGAUCGGGCACGAAUGUUAAGUUGGUAGAAAUUAACAAAUAAAAAAACACGCUGUCUAAAUAAGUUAUAUGCCUAUGUAAAAUAAUAAGAUCCAAAUCAAACUUAACAAAGAUCAAGAGCUGUACAGAAUCAUAUGAAAUAAAAAAUCAUAUUCAAUUAAUUUGAAAUUUGUCGUUUUAUUGGUCACGAUAGCGAUCGUUAGUAUAAAUUGUGUAUCUGGUCAAGGAUGAAACUGUAGGAAAAUAUUACAAUAAGAUCCAGUGGAAAUAAAACAUCGUUUAGUAGUAGAAGAAGCAUUUUCAGAUAUAAAUUAAGUUGCCAAUAUAGUUCAUAUGGUGGUUGGCUAUGCUGCGUAUGAUUAUUGUAAAUAGAUAGGCCUAAUCUGUGCGGCAUGUGAGGGGAGGUGACAGUGUGACAAUUGUCACCUCAGGUGAGGUGACUCUCAAUUUGAUUUGCACGGAGUCUUCACAAAUGACAGCGUGUCACCUCAGCUCACACGCCGCGCAGAAUAGGCCUAAAGGCCCAAGCGCAAGAACAGUGGAGAAGCCCGAUCUGAGUAAGCCUACUUGCCGGAUUUAAAACUAGUUAAAACGGAAUCGACUUCGGUUAGGCAUCUUGAUGCCAUUUGUGACUGUCAAACUUGCCGUUACCGUUCCGCUUCCGCCCACAUUGCGUUUGGGCCUUAAGAAUUUAAAAUCUAUGAAACAGAGUUUUAAAAAUCUGUCUCAAUUACAUUGUUUGUUGUUUCCAAUGUGUUCACCGAAAAGCAAUGCAUGUUCCAAAAAAUUAAACAAAAACAGUGCAGCCAGUAUGAUCCUGAAACAUCUCAGUGUGAAUAAACUUCUAAUUUAACCAGAAAUAGAGCAUCUAAGCACAGGUGUUAUUUUUAAAAACUUACCUGGACGUCCCAGCACAACGUAGAAAUCCAGACCGUAGAUACCGAUCGAUGGGUCGUACUUGAUGCCCAGAUCGAUAUGUUCUUGGAUA